Molecule: ribosomal RNA, 228 nt
Filed under: uncultured bacterium
Lineage: Bacteria
Description: partial 16S ribosomal RNA
Rfam family: Bacterial small subunit ribosomal RNA
Source: RNAcentral
CGGGUGAGUAAUGUAUGGGGAUCUGCCUGAUGGCGGGGGAUAACUACUGGAAACGGUAGCUAAUACCGCAUAAUGUCUACGGACCAAAGCGGGGGACCUCCGGGCCUCGCGCCAUCAGAUGAACCCAUAUGGGAUUAGCUAGUAGGUGAGGUAACGGCUUACCUAGGCGACGAUCCCUAGCUGGUCUGAGAGGAUGAUCAGCCACACUGGAACUGAGACACGGUCCAG